This 465-nucleotide ribosomal RNA is filed under the name Vreelandella stevensii. Its description in RNAcentral is "partial 16S ribosomal RNA". It matches the Rfam family "Bacterial small subunit ribosomal RNA", at positions 338 to 795 of the family's 1533-position model. The record is from RNAcentral. Lineage: Bacteria; Pseudomonadati; Pseudomonadota; Gammaproteobacteria; Oceanospirillales; Halomonadaceae.
CCUACGGGCUGCAGCAGUGGGGAAUAUUGGACAAUGGGGGGAACCCUGAUCCAGCCAUGCCGCGUGUGUGAAGAAGGCCCUCGGGUUGUAAAGCACUUUCAGUGAGGAAGAACGCCUGGUGGUUAAUACCCAUCAGGAAAGACAUCACUCACAGAAGAAGCACCGGCUAACUCCGUGCCAGCAGCCGCGGUAAUACGGAGGGUGCGAGCGUUAAUCGGAAUUACUGGGCGUAAAGCGCGCGUAGGUGGCUUGAUAAGCCGGUUGUGAAAGCCCCGGGCUCAACCUGGGAACGGCAUCCGGAACUGUCAAGCUAGAGUGCAGGAGAGGAAGGUAGAAUUCCCGGUGUAGCGGUGAAAUGCGUAGAGAUCGGGAGGAAUACCAGUGGCGAAGGCGGCCUUCUGGACUGACACUGACACUGAGGUGCGAAAGCGUGGGUAGCAAACAGGAUUAGAUACCCUGGUAGUC